This 1000-nucleotide small RNA is filed under the name Pongo abelii (Sumatran orangutan). RNAcentral describes it as "processed transcript". Lineage: Eukaryota; Metazoa; Chordata; Mammalia; Primates; Hominidae. The record is from RNAcentral.
GUACCUCUACAACCGCAUGGGCUACUGGAGCGACUGGCCCGUGCCCAUCCUUGUGACCACAGCUGCUGCCUUCGCUUACAUUGCUGGCCUCCUGGUCCUGGCACUAUGUCACAUUGCCGUGGGGCAGCAGAUGAACCUGCACUGGCUGCACAAGGGCACAGCGCCAUUCCUGCAUGUGGGGGCCCUGGCAGCAGUCACCAUGCUCUCCUGGAUCGUGGCAGGACAGUUUGCCCGCGCAGAGCGGACCUCCUCCCAGGUGACCAUUCUCUGUACCUUCUUCACCGUGGUGUUUGCCCUCUACCUGGCCCCUCUCACCAUCUCCUCUCCCUGCAUCAUGGAGAAGAAGGACCUCGGCCCCAAGCCUGCUCUCAUUGGCCACCGUGGGGCCCCCAUGCUGGCUCCAGAGCACACACUCAUGUCCUUCCGGAAGGCCCUCGAGCAGAAGCUGUAUGGGCUCCAGGCUGACAUUACCAUCAGCCUGGACGGUGUGCCCUUCCUCAUGCACGACGCCACCCUGCGGCGCACCACCAAUGUGGAGGAGGAGUUCCCGGAGCUGGCCCGCAGGCCUGCCUCCAUGCUCAACUGGACCACCCUGCAGAGACUCAACGCUGGCCAGUGGUUCCUGAAGGUCUGGCUGCACCUGAUCCCAAUCUUAGGCAUGGAAAACACCAGCAGGGACUGCAAGGAGUGAGAGGUGCAAGGGUGGCCAUCAGCUUCGAGACCCCCACUCUCAGAGCUUUUCCGACCUCCACCCAAGCUGCUUAGUGGCCUCCUAGGCUCCUGCCACUGCUGCCAGACUCGUGGUUGUCACUGCUUGUUCUGGGUCCAUUUCCCUCACUAGAAAAGGUUGACAGGGAUGAGAGCAGUGAAUAGAAUUGUUAACUCUGUAAAACUCUGGAGAGGGGUUGGCUCUCUGGUCUGAAAUGCUCUAAAAGGAGAAAUGCUGUGGGUCUGGGAGCGAUUCCAAGCAAGCCAUCCUCUGUCCUCUUGGUAAGCAGGG